RNAcentral lists this long non-coding RNA (1343 nucleotides) under Triticum aestivum (bread wheat). RNAcentral describes it as "long non-coding RNA (TAES_LNC002287)". The record is from RNAcentral. Lineage: Eukaryota; Viridiplantae; Streptophyta; Magnoliopsida; Poales; Poaceae.
AAUACUUCAAAUGACAAGAAGCAAAAAUCUGUUACAUCAACACACAUACAACAUUUCAUUCAAAAACAGAGAGAAGAUACAUGAAAUUCUGGAGUUCACAAUGCCCAAAUAACCUAGCUAUCAUUACAUAACUUGCUAUACAAAAAUGUCUUGGCGCUUCUUUGAACAUCUUCUUUCGUCUUGAAUUUAGGCAAAAUAUCUGCCAACAAGAAAACAGAACAUCGAGGAUAUAGUGAAUAACAACAGCAGCAAGUGAUGGGGUGCAUGAAAAUUAAGAAGAGCAUUACAGCAGCAGUUCAAGUUAACACAAUAGAUGGACAGUACAACAGCAUUACAGGCAGUCAAAUAGUUCAGGGACAGCAAAAAUGCAUGCAUACAGACAGUCAAACAGUUCAGGGAACAGCAAACUGUCCAUCAAUUGUGUUAACUUGCAAACAGUUCAGGGAACAUGCAAACAGUUCAGGGAACAUGCAUGCAAUGGAAGUACGCACUAGUAGUUCAGGGAACUUGCAAACAGUUCAGGGAACAUGCAUGCAAUGCAAACAGUUCAGGGAACUUUCAAACAGUUCAAGAAACAUGCAAACAGUUCAGGGAAUAAUCAAAUAAUAAUGCCAGGUUGUGCAAUAUUACACACAGUGCCCAUGCUUUGCCCACAGCCUUGUGCGGUAGCAGCAAUGGUAGAAGACUGAGCCUAGCGCCAACGUCCCCAAGCCCUGCAGCACAUACAUGAGAAUUACACACAGUGCCUGGGGUCUGGUAAGGUAGAAAUAACACAAUGCAAUAGUACAGGCCAUCAUGGUCUGGUAAGGUAAAAAUAACACAGUAACUCUCUCGUAAGUUUUAUUGGACCAAUUGUUUUUCUCUUAUGUAGAUCCAAAAUCCUAGGGUGGGCCGUUCAUAGGUAUAUAAGUAGAUGCAAUAAAUACAUGCCAAAUUGGGCAACAAAUGAAAAUGAAUAGAUGGAAAAUGCAUGUCACAUACUCCUAGAUUCAAACAAUUGACAUUACUCAGGACUAGUAGAAAGAGAUUACAGGAAACAUGCAAACGGUUCAUGGAAUAUUGUGUUAACUUGCAAACAGCAAAUAGUUCAAGGAACAUGCAUGCAAUGGAAGUACGUACUAGUAGUUGUACAACACAAUGCCAGGUUGGAGAAAAUCAUGCUUAAGCAAACAAUGGCAGCGGCAUGGCAUAAUCAAAUAAUAAUGUGAGAAAACAACUUGAUAUGAUUCACACUUGAUCACAGCAAAGAAUGUGCUAGUAGUGUGCACUCACAAAAGAAUGAAUGAAUCGACAUUGAUUUGCUGCACUGCACCAUCCAAGGGGAGCAGACUUCUUCAACGCAU